UACAGAGGUCUCAAGCGUUGUUCGGAUUCAUUGGGCGUAAAGGGUGCGUAGGCGGCGUCUUAAGUCGGGUGUGAAAUCUCGGGGCUCAACUCCGAAAUUGCAUUCGAUACUGCGGUGCUUGAGGACUGGAGAGGAGACUGGAAUUCACGGUGUAGCAGUGAAAUGCGUAGAUAUCGUGAGGAAGACCAGUGGCGAAGGCGGGUCUCUGGACAGUUCCUGACGCUGAGGCACGAAGGCCAGGGGAGCAAACGGG
Molecule: ribosomal RNA, 253 nt
Filed under: uncultured bacterium
Lineage: Bacteria
Description: partial 16S ribosomal RNA
Rfam family: Bacterial small subunit ribosomal RNA
Source: RNAcentral